Molecule: long non-coding RNA, 558 nt
Filed under: Equus caballus (horse)
Lineage: Eukaryota; Metazoa; Chordata; Mammalia; Perissodactyla; Equidae
Description: lncRNA (ENSECAG00000059241.1)
Source: RNAcentral
UGAUUAUAGGACUUUUCAGAAAAACUGGUACUAGAGGGUCAUAGGAGCUGAUCUAAAACCUUACCUCACUUUCUCACAAAUUCUUGCCUUCCCAAUCCUGGUCACGGUUGUCUUAACCUCUUCCUGAAGUGAAAAACAGUCAGCAUGAGCCACGAAUGCCGCCCUGGAAACACCCCGUGUCCUUUCGAAAGCAGUUUUAGCAGACGUGGAGAAGAAGGCCCAUUUAUGCAGAGCUGGCUCAACCAUUUCCCGUUUUAUGAACUGAUUAGAAAAACAGAAAUUGGACAUUGUGGCUUACGUAUAGUUCGCACAUUUUGGGAGGAGGGAGCGAACGGCAUCGCUCAGCGUGUCAGACUGGAGGUGUGAUAUCUGCCCAAUCCUGUUCCGACGUGUAGUGUCAGCUCCGUUGCCCAGCAGCUCUCUGGACAGUCCUGUGAGAACAGCUUGCUCAGCAUCGUUUGUGAACUCGAUCUGAUGGAUGUGGGAUGAUAUCUCAUCCGCCUCCCCGUCCGCUGCGCAGACCCCAAGCCCCCACACGCUUAGCUGCUGGCAGAAGAC